RNAcentral lists this ribosomal RNA (731 nucleotides) under Salmonella enterica subsp. enterica serovar Afula. RNAcentral's name for it is "partial 23S ribosomal RNA". It matches the Rfam family "Bacterial large subunit ribosomal RNA", at positions 2202 to 2925 of the family's 2925-position model. The record is from RNAcentral. Lineage: Bacteria; Pseudomonadati; Pseudomonadota; Gammaproteobacteria; Enterobacterales; Enterobacteriaceae.
ACCCUUUAAUGUUUGAUGUUCUAACGUGGACCCGUAAUCCGGGUUGCGGACAGUGUCUGGUGGGUAGUUUGACUGGGGCGGUCUCCUCCUAAAGAGUAACGGAGGAGCACGAAGGUUGGCUAAUCCUGGUCGGACAUCAGGAGGUUAGUGCAAUGGCAUAAGCCAGCUUGACUGCGAGCGUGACGGCGCGAGCAGGUGCGAAAGCAGGUCAUAGUGAUCCGGUGGUUCUGAAUGGAAGGGCCAUCGCUCAACGGAUAAAAGGUACUCCGGGGAUAACAGGCUGAUACCGCCCAAGAGUUCAUAUCGACGGCGGUGUUUGGCACCUCGAUGUCGGCUCAUCACAUCCUGGGGCUGAAGUAGGUCCCAAGGGUAUGGCUGUUCGCCAUUUAAAGUGGUACGCGAGCUGGGUUUAGAACGUCGUGAGACAGUUCGGUCCCUAUCUGCCGUGGGCGCUGGAGAACUGAGGGGGGCUGCUCCUAGUACGAGAGGACCGGAGUGGACGCAUCACUGGUGUUCGGGUUGUCAUGCCAAUGGCACUGCCCGGUAGCUAAAUGCGGAAGAGAUAAGUGCUGAAAGCAUCUAAGCACGAAACUUGCCCCGAGAUGAGUUCUCCCUGAGACUUAAAGUCUCCUGAAGGAACGUUGAAGACGACGACGUUGAUAGGCCGGGUGUGUAAGCGCAGCGAUGCGUUGAGCUAACCGGUACUAAUGAACCGUGAGGCUUAACCUUAC